Molecule: ribosomal RNA, 2893 nt
Filed under: Pseudomonas amygdali pv. lachrymans
Lineage: Bacteria; Pseudomonadati; Pseudomonadota; Gammaproteobacteria; Pseudomonadales; Pseudomonadaceae
Description: 23S ribosomal RNA
Rfam family: Bacterial large subunit ribosomal RNA
Source: RNAcentral
GGUCAAGUGAAGAAGCGCAUACGGUGGAUGCCUUGGCAGUCAGAGGCGAUGAAAGACGUGGUAGCCUGCGAAAAGCUUCGGGGAGUCGGCAAACAGACUGUGAUCCGGAGAUGUCUGAAUGGGGGAACCCAGCCAUCAUAAGAUGGUUAUCUUGUACUGAAUACAUAGGUGCAAGAGGCGAACCAGGGGAACUGAAACAUCUAAGUACCCUGAGGAAAAGAAAUCAACCGAGAUUCCCUUAGUAGUGGCGAGCGAACGGGGACCAGCCCUUAAGUUGUAUUGAGAUUAGCGGAACGUUCUGGAAAGGACGGCCAUAGUGGGUGAUAGCCCUGUACGCGAAAAUCCCUUUGUAAUGAAAUCGAGUAGGACGGGGCACGAGAAACCUUGUCUGAAUAUGGGGGGACCAUCCUCCAAGGCUAAAUACUACUGACUGACCGAUAGUGAACCAGUACCGUGAGGGAAAGGCGAAAAGAACCGCGGAGAGCGGAGUGAAAUAGAUCCUGAAACCGUAUGCGUACAAGCAGUGGGAGCCCACUUUGUUGGGUGACUGCGUACCUUUUGUAUAAUGGGUCAGCGACUUAUUUUCAGUGGCGAGCUUAACCGAAUAGGGGAGGCGUAGCGAAAGCGAGUCUUAAUAGGGCGUCUAGUCGCUGGGAAUAGACCCGAAACCGGGCGAUCUAUCCAUGGGCAGGUUGAAGGUUGGGUAACACUAACUGGAGGACCGAACCGACUACCGUUGAAAAGUUAGCGGAUGACCUGUGGAUCGGAGUGAAAGGCUAAUCAAGCUCGGAGAUAGCUGGUUCUCCUCGAAAGCUAUUUAGGUAGCGCCUCAUGUAUCACUGUAGGGGGUAGAGCACUGUUUCGGCUAGGGGGUCAUCCCGACUUACCAAACCGAUGCAAACUCCGAAUACCUACAAGUGCCGAGCAUGGGAGACACACGGCGGGUGCUAACGUCCGUCGUGAAAAGGGAAACAACCCAGACCGUCAGCUAAGGUCCCAAAGUCAUGGUUAAGUGGGAAACGAUGUGGGAAGGCUUAGACAGCUAGGAGGUUGGCUUAGAAGCAGCCACCCUUUAAAGAAAGCGUAAUAGCUCACUAGUCGAGUCGGCCUGCGCGGAAGAUGUAACGGGGCUCAAACCAUGCACCGAAGCUACGGGUAUCAUCUUAUGAUGAUGCGGUAGAGGAGCGUUCUGUAAGCCUGUGAAGGUGAGUUGAGAAGCUUGCUGGAGGUAUCAGAAGUGCGAAUGCUGACAUGAGUAACGACAAUGGGUGUGAAAAACACCCACGCCGAAAGACCAAGGUUUCCUGCGCAACGUUAAUCGACGCAGGGUUAGUCGGUCCCUAAGGCGAGGCUGAAAAGCGUAGUCGAUGGAAAACAGGUUAAUAUUCCUGUACUUCUGGUUAUUGCGAUGGAGGGACGGAGAAGGCUAGGCCAGCCUGGCGUUGGUUGUCCAGGUUUAAGGUGGUAGGCUGAGAUCUUAGGUAAAUCCGGGAUCUCAAGGCCGAGAGCUGAUGACGAGUGUUCUUUAGAACACGAAGUGGUUGAUGCCAUGCUUCCAAGAAAAGCUUCUAAGCUUCAGGUAACCAGGAACCGUACCCCAAACCGACACAGGUGGUUGGGUAGAGAAUACCAAGGCGCUUGAGAGAACUCGGGUGAAGGAACUAGGCAAAAUGGCACCGUAACUUCGGGAGAAGGUGCGCCGGUGAGGGUGAAGCAUUUACUGCGUAAGCCCACGCCGGUCGAAGAUACCAGGCCGCUGCGACUGUUUAUUAAAAACACAGCACUCUGCAAACACGAAAGUGGACGUAUAGGGUGUGACGCCUGCCCGGUGCCGGAAGGUUAAUUGAUGGGGUUAGCGCAAGCGAAGCUCUUGAUCGAAGCCCCGGUAAACGGCGGCCGUAACUAUAACGGUCCUAAGGUAGCGAAAUUCCUUGUCGGGUAAGUUCCGACCUGCACGAAUGGCGUAACGAUGGCGGCGCUGUCUCCACCCGAGACUCAGUGAAAUUGAAAUCGCUGUGAAGAUGCAGUGUAUCCGCGGCUAGACGGAAAGACCCCGUGAACCUUUACUAUAGCUUUGCACUGGACUUUGAAUUUGCUUGUGUAGGAUAGGUGGGAGGCUUUGAAGCGUGGACGCCAGUCUGCGUGGAGCCAACCUUGAAAUACCACCCUGGCAACUUUGAGGUUCUAACUCAGGUCCGUUAUCCGGAUCGAGGACAGUGUAUGGUGGGUAGUUUGACUGGGGCGGUCUCCUCCUAAAGAGUAACGGAGGAGUACGAAGGUGCGCUCAGACCGGUCGGAAAUCGGUCGUAGAGUAUAAAGGCAAAAGCGCGCUUGACUGCGAGACAGACACGUCGAGCAGGUACGAAAGUAGGUCUUAGUGAUCCGGUGGUUCUGUAUGGAAGGGCCAUCGCUCAACGGAUAAAAGGUACUCCGGGGAUAACAGGCUGAUACCGCCCAAGAGUUCAUAUCGACGGCGGUGUUUGGCACCUCGAUGUCGGCUCAUCACAUCCUGGGGCUGAAGCCGGUCCCAAGGGUAUGGCUGUUCGCCAUUUAAAGUGGUACGCGAGCUGGGUUUAGAACGUCGUGAGACAGUUCGGUCCCUAUCUGCCGUGGACGUUUGAGAUUUGAGAGGGGCUGCUCCUAGUACGAGAGGACCGGAGUGGACGAACCUCUGGUGUUCCGGUUGUCACGCCAGUGGCAUUGCCGGGUAGCUAUGUUCGGAAAAGAUAACCGCUGAAAGCAUCUAAGCGGGAAACUUGCCUCAAGAUGAGAUCUCACUGGAACCUUGAGUUCCCUAAAGGGCCGUCGAAGACUACGACGUUGAUAGGUUGGGUGUGUAAGCGCUGUGAGGCGUUGAGCUAACCAAUACUAAUUGCCCGUGAGGCUUGACCAU